UCAGGUGGCCGCAGAGAAUAGGCCCAAGCGACUGUUUACCAAAAACAUAGGUUUCUGCUAAGUCGCAAGACGAUGUAUAGGAGCUGACGCCUGCCCGGUGCUGGAAGGUUAAGGGGAUCUGUUAGAGCAAUCGAAGCAGUGAACUUAAGCCCCAGUAAACGGCGGCCGUAACUAUAACGGUCCUAAGGUAGCGAAAUUCCUUGUCGGGUAAG
Molecule: ribosomal RNA, 212 nt
Filed under: Clostridioides difficile
Lineage: Bacteria; Bacillati; Bacillota; Clostridia; Peptostreptococcales; Peptostreptococcaceae
Description: partial 23S ribosomal RNA
Rfam family: Bacterial large subunit ribosomal RNA
Source: RNAcentral